RNAcentral lists this long non-coding RNA (372 nucleotides) under Homo sapiens (human). Its description in RNAcentral is "VIPR1 antisense RNA 1". The record is from RNAcentral. Lineage: Eukaryota; Metazoa; Chordata; Mammalia; Primates; Hominidae.
CUCCCUGGUACCAUACCCCAGCCGAUGAGUAUGUACCCCCAGAAGUACUUCCGCUCAGAGAAGAAGGAGACGGCAAGCAGGGUGUACAGGAAGGCCCAGAACCAGCCUGCUGUCAGGAUCAGAACAAAAGAGGAGGACUGCAUAUGUAUGGACCCACUCCAGAUGGCACGGGGACGGGGGGAGUAGGAAAAGUGGCAUGGUGAGCAGAGCCCUGGCUAUGCAGGUGGCAGAUGACUGAUUAGAAAACCAGCUCAAGGUCAUGUUGCUGCUCUCUCAUUCCUGUUGAGGGCUCUCUGGUGGAGCCUCUGUCUCACAGGUCACCUGCAGGCCAACACUCCCAGAAGCAGCUAGCACCAUGGUUGACCUCGUCCA